RNAcentral lists this ribosomal RNA (562 nucleotides) under uncultured eukaryote. RNAcentral's name for it is "SSU rRNA". It matches the Rfam family "Eukaryotic small subunit ribosomal RNA", at positions 1 to 566 of the family's 1831-position model. The record is from RNAcentral.
UCUGGUUGAUCCUGCCAGUAGUCAUAUGCUUGCCUCAAAGAUUAAGCCAUGCAUGUCUAAGUAUAAGCAAUUUAUACAGUGAAACUGCGAAUGGCUCAUUAAAUCAGUUAUCGUUUAUUUGAUAGUUCCUUUACUACAUGGUAUAACUGUGGUAAUUCUAGAGCUAAUACAUGCUUAAAAUCUCGACCCUUUGGAAGAGAUGUAUUUAUUAGAUAAAAAAUCAAUGUCUUCGGACUCUUUGAUGAUUCAUAAUAACUUUUCGAAUCGCAUGGCCUUGUGCUGGCGAUGGUUCAUUCAAAUUUCUGCCCUAUCAACUUUCGAUGGUAGGAUAGUGGCCUACCAUGGUUUCAACGGGUAACGGGGAAUAAGGGUUCGAUUCCGGAGAGGGAGCCUGAGAAACGGCUACCACAUCCAAGGAAGGCAGCAGGCGCGCAAAUUACCCAAUCCUAAUUCAGGGAGGUAGUGACAAUAAAUAACGAUACAGGGCCCAUUCGGGUCUUGUAAUUGGAAUGAGUACAAUGUAAAUACCUUAACGAGGAACAAUUGGAGGGCAAGUCUGGUA